Molecule: ribosomal RNA, 253 nt
Filed under: uncultured bacterium
Lineage: Bacteria
Description: partial 16S ribosomal RNA
Rfam family: Bacterial small subunit ribosomal RNA
Source: RNAcentral
UACAGAGGUGGCAAGCGUUGUUCGGAAUUACUGGGCGUAAAGGGCGCGUAGGCGGCCUUCUAAGUCAGACGUGAAAUCCCCCGGCUUAACCUGGGAACUGCGUCUGAUACUGGGAGGCUUGAGUAUGGGAGAGGGAUGUAGAAUUCCAGGUGUAGCGGUGAAAUGCGUAGAUAUCUGGAGGAACACCAAUGGCGAAGGCAGCUCGCUGGGACGUUACUGACGCUGAGACGCGAAAGCUAGGGGAGCGAAUGGG